Long non-coding RNA from Daphnia pulicaria, 2119 nucleotides. RefSeq lists it as uncharacterized. The record is from RefSeq and is a predicted model, not a curated record. NCBI's taxonomy places the organism in Eukaryota, Metazoa, Arthropoda, Branchiopoda, Diplostraca, Daphniidae. The transcript has 5 exons.
AAAAAUAUACAAAGAAAAAACGGUCGCCUUCAAGACAACGUUAUUUAACGUUUAUCGCCAACGGUUUAUUCGGUUCGGUCGCAGACGUUAAGACGCUGUCUCGGGAACAAUACGCCCGUGUUCCUGACUUCCGACAAAAUUACAACUUAAAAGUUUUCCAUUGUUUCUUCUCCGUUUUGUAUAGCACUUCAUUUUAAAUGAAUGGAAAUCCAACUCGAUGUUAAAGUUCGACUGGGAAAAGGCGCAUUUGGCGCAGUGUUUCCAGGAACGUUUCGAGGUCGUCAAGUGGUAGUCAAAAGAGUUGACCUUUUCGACGCCAACGGCAACGAGGAAGAAACUCUAAAACAGUUGGAUCAUCCUCACAUCGCCAAAACUCUUUCACGUCGAGUCCAACGACGAAUUCAAGUACUUUGCUCUGGAACUCUGCGCCGCAUCGUUGGAUCAGAUAUUUCUGGAUCCUGAAAAUCCUCGAAAAUACAAAGGGCCUAACCUGCCACCCCAUUUGAUGGUUUUCUCUCAGUUGGCUUCGGGACUAGAGCACAUCCAUUGAAAGAAAUUAAUUCAUCGAGACAUCAAGCCAGAAAAUGUACUCAUUCACGUCGAUCCUACUACUGGCCAGGUGAAAAUGAAAUGGGCUGAUUUCGGUCUGUCCAGAUCCGUCAAUGAGCGAGGGACAUUCACGAUCAAUAGCGGAAUCAAAGGAACCAAAAACUGGUAUGCCCCAGAAUUGCUGAAACUAAGCAGCGAAUUCAAAAAGAAAAAACUGCCAAGAGGUACCGUCAAGAGCGACGUCUUUGCACAAGGUCUCGUCUUUGCAUAUCUUCUUUUGGAUGGGCAGCAUCUUUACGGUCGAAACGACUACGACAUUUUCAAGAACAUUAUGGUUGACAACCCAGUCAAUACCAGCAAAAUUGACCAACCUCAUUACGCAUUGGAAUUAUUCACAAAAAUGUUGGUGCAUGAUCACGAAGAUAGAAUUUCAUCAGGCGAUGUCGCUACUCAAUUAAAUACCAUCAAGCAAAAACUUGCCGAAAAAGAAGAAGAGGUGCGUCUACUUUGUAAAAGUAUAGUUGUAAAGUAGUCUAGUUGUAAAAGUCCCAAUUCGGGAUCGACGUCAAUGGCAAAGACGAAGACGGCAACAACGCACUCCAUUUACUGUGCACUAAUCAUUCGAGCGAAAGAUUAAUCGAGGCAAUCGCACCACUGAUCGAAUCCAAGAUUGAUGUCAAUGGGGAAAACAACUACGGAAGCAACGCACUGCAUUUAUUGUGUCUUAAUAAUUCAAGCAAAGGAUUAAUCGAGGCAAUGAAUUUACUCAUCCAACAGGGAAUCGAUGUCAACAGGAAAGACAACUACGGGAGAAACGCACUGCAUUACUUGUGUUAUUCCAAUUCAAGCGACAAAUUAGUUGACGCAAUCGAAUUUUUAGUUCAACGCGGGAUCGACGUGCAUGGGAUCGAUAAAGACGGAUGGAACGCACUCCAUUUAUUGUGUCGAUUUAAUUCAAGCAAAAGAUUUAUCGAAGCAAUCAAGCUAUUCAUCCAACUCGGAAUUGACGUCAAAUCCAACGGCAACAUCGAUGCCCGAAUUCUGUUACGAAUCAACUCCACUUUUCAUCAAAGAGAAAUAACCGAUGAUAUCUUACAACUCCUCGACAGAGCUGCUCUUGCCAAAUAAUAAGAUUCAUUUUGAAGAUUUUCAAUGCGAGAAAAAAAUAACAAAAUUGCUUGUACACAUUUUAUGUGCAUAAUUUACCAUACUCGGAAACAAUGUAGGUAAGACAAAUACGCAAAAAAUGCUUAAAUUUAAACGGACUUGCAUGGAAGGAAACUCACUUCCUUUCAUGUGUCAAUUAAAUUAUACUCCGAAAAAGUGAAAAAGGUAAAAAGAAGGAAUCCAUAAUUUUUUUUUUGUUCCAGUUCGGAAUUGAUGUGCUAAACAAAACAAAAAACCGGAAGCGAUUCCAAAAAUUAUUUCCGUAAAAUGCCAUUUUUAAAUAGUCGAGGUGUGACCAAUUUAAACGUGGCGUCCAAAUCAAGUUAAUCAUCGCAGAUGGACGAGCGUGUAACUACAGACCCGAUUUUCCAUGCAAGAUUCCUUAUAUAAAAGUGGUUUAAAA